UUAAGUUAUUAAGGGCGCACGGUGGAUGCCUUGGCACUAGAAGCCGAUGAAGGACGUUACUAACGACGAUAUGCUUUGGGGAGCUGUAAGUAAGCUUUGAUCCAGAGAUUUCCGAAUGGGGAAACCCAGCAUGAGUUAUGUCAUGUUAUCGAUAUGUGAAUACAUAGCAUAUCAGAAGGCACACCCGGAGAACUGAAACAUCUUAGUACCCGGAGGAAGAGAAAGAAAAUUCGAUUCCCUUAGUAGCGGCGAGCGAAACGGGAAGAGCCCAAACCAACAAGCUUGCUUGUUGGGGUUGUAGGACACUCUAUACGGAGUUACAAAGGACGACAUUAGACGAAUCAUCUGGAAAGAUGAAUCAAAGAAGGUAAUAAUCCUGUAGUCGAAAAUGUUGUCUCUCUUGAGUGGAUCCUGAGUACGACGGAGCACGUGAAAUUCCGUCGGAAUCUGGGAGGACCAUCUCCUAAGGCUAAAUACUCUCUAGUGACCGAUAGUGAACCAGUACCGUGAGGGAAAGGUGAAAAGCACCCCGGAAGGGGAGUGAAAUAGAACCUGAAACCGUGUGCUUACAAGUAGUCAGAGCCCGUUAAUGGGUGAUGGCGUGCCUUUUGUAGAAUGAACCGGCGAGUUACGAUUUGAUGCAAGGUUAAGCAGUAAAUGUGGAGCCGUAGCGAAAGCGAGUCUGAAUAGGGCGUUUAGUAUUUGGUCGUAGACCCGAAACCAGGUGAUCUACCCUUGGUCAGGUUGAAGUUCAGGUAACACUGAAUGGAGGACCGAACCGACUUACGUUGAAAAGUGAGCGGAUGAACUGAGGGUAGCGGAGAAAUUCCAAUCGAACCUGGAGAUAGCUGGUUCUCUCCGAAAUAGCUUUAGGGCUAGCCUCAAGUGAUGAUUAUUGGAGGUAGAGCACUGUUUGGACGAGGGGCCCCUCUCGGGUUACCGAAUUCAGACAAACUCCGAAUGCCAAUUAAUUUAACUUGGGAGUCAGAACAUGGGUGAUAAGGUCCGUGUUCGAAAGGGAAACAGCCCAGACCACCAGCUAAGGUCCCAAAAUAUAUGUUAAGUGGAAAAGGAUGUGGCGUUGCCCAGACAACUAGGAUGUUGGCUUAGAAGCAGCCAUCAUUUAAAGAGUGCGUAAUAGCUCACUAGUCGAGUGACACUGCGCCGAAAAUGUACCGGGGCUAAACAUAUUACCGAAGCUGUGGAUUGUCCUUUGGACAAUGGUAGGAGAGCGUUCUAAGGGCGUUGAAGCAUGAUCGUAAGGACAUGUGGAGCGCUUAGAAGUGAGAAUGCCGGUGUGAGUAGCGAAAGACGGGUGAGAAUCCCGUCCACCGAUUGACUAAGGUUUCCAGAGGAAGGCUCGUCCGCUCUGGGUUAGUCGGGUCCUAAGCUGAGGCCGACAGGCGUAGGCGAUGGAUAACAGGUUGAUAUUCCUGUACCACCUAUAAUCGUUUUAAUCGAUGGGGGGACGGCAGUAGGAUAGGCGAAGCGUGCGAUUGGAUUGCACGUCUAAGCAGUAAGGCUGAGUAUUAGGCAAAUCCGGUACUCGUUAAGGCUGAGCUGUGAUGGGGAGAAGACAUUGUGUCUUCGAGUCGUUGAUUUCACACUGCCGAGAAAAGCCUCUAGAUAGAAAAUAGGUGCCCGUACCGCAAACCGACACAGGUAGUCAAGAUGAGAAUUCUAAGGUGAGCGAGCGAACUCUCGUUAAGGAACUCGGCAAAAUGACCCCGUAACUUCGGGAGAAGGGGUGCUCUUUAGGGUUAACGCCCAGAAGAGCCGCAGUGAAUAGGCCCAAGCGACUGUUUAUCAAAAACACAGGUCUCUGCUAAACCGUAAGGUGAUGUAUAGGGGCUGACGCCUGCCCGGUGCUGGAAGGUUAAGAGGAGUGGUUAGCUUCUGCGAAGCUACGAAUCGAAGCCCCAGUAAACGGCGGCCGUAACUAUAACGGUCCUAAGGUAGCGAAAUUCCUUGUCGGGUAAGUUCCGACCCGCACGAAAGGCGUAACGAUUUGGGCACUGUCUCAACGAGAGACUCGGUGAAAUCAUAGUACCUGUGAAGAUGCAGGUUACCCGCGACAGGACGGAAAGACCCCGUGGAGCUUUACUGUAGCCUGAUAUUGAAAUUCGGCACAGCUUGUACAGGAUAGGUAGGAGCCUUUGAAACGUGAGCGCUAGCUUACGUGGAGGCGCUGGUGGGAUACUACCCUAGCUGUGUUGGCUUUCUAACCCGCACCACUUAUCGUGGUGGGAGACAGUGUCAAGCGGGCAGUUUGACUGGGGCGGUCGCCU
Molecule: ribosomal RNA, 2288 nt
Filed under: Staphylococcus aureus subsp. aureus CIGC348
Lineage: Bacteria; Bacillati; Bacillota; Bacilli; Caryophanales; Staphylococcaceae
Description: bacterial LSU rRNA
Rfam family: Bacterial large subunit ribosomal RNA
Source: RNAcentral